UACAGAGGGUGCAAGCGUUAAUCGGAUUUACUGGGCGUAAAGCGUGCGUAGCCGGUUAUUUAAGUCGGAUGUGAAAGCCCCGGGCUCAACCUGGGAAUUGCAUUCGAGACUGAAUAGCUAGGGUGCGGUAGAGGGAAGCGGAAUUUCCGGUGUAGCGGUGAAAUGCGUAGAUAUCGGAAGGAACAUCAGUGGCGAAAGCGGCUUCCUGGACCAGCACCGACGUUCAGGCACGAAAGCGUGGGGAGCAAACAGG
Molecule: ribosomal RNA, 253 nt
Filed under: uncultured bacterium
Lineage: Bacteria
Description: partial 16S ribosomal RNA
Rfam family: Bacterial small subunit ribosomal RNA
Source: RNAcentral